This 253-nucleotide ribosomal RNA is filed under the name uncultured bacterium. RNAcentral's name for it is "partial 16S ribosomal RNA". It matches the Rfam family "Bacterial small subunit ribosomal RNA", at positions 524 to 776 of the family's 1533-position model. The record is from RNAcentral.
UACGAAGGGGGCUAGCGUUGCUCGGAAUUACUGGGCGUAAAGGGCGCGUAGGCGGUUAGUUUAGUCAGAGGUGAAAGCCCAGGGCUCAACCUUGGAACUGCCUUUGAUACUGGCUAUCUUGAGUUCGGGAGAGGUGAGUGGAAUGCCGAGUGUAGAGGUGAAAUUCGUAGAUAUUCGGCGGAACACCAGUGGCGAAGGCGACUCACUGGCCCGAUACUGACGCUGAGGCGCGAAAGCGUGGGGAGCAAACAGG